GUUAGGAAUAUUGGACAAUGGGCGCAAGCCUGAUCCAGCCAUGCCGCGUGAGUGAUGAAGGCCUUCGGGUUGUAAAGCUCUUUAGCCGAUGAUUAUAAUGACUGUAGUCGGAAAAUAAGCCCCGGCUAACUUCGUGCCAGCAGCCGCGGUAAUACGAAGGGGGCGAGCGUUAUUCGGAAUCACUGGGCGUAAAGCGUGCGUAGGCGGCUUUGCAAGUUGGGAGUGAAAGCCCAGGGCUCAACCCUGGAAUUGCCCUCAAAACUGCAAGGCUCGAAUUCGGGAGAGGAUAGCGGAAUUGUCAGUGUAGCAGUGAAAUGCGUAGAUAUUGACAGGAACACCAGUGGCGUAAGCGGCUAUCUGGACCGAUAUUGACGCUGAGGCACGAAAGCGUGGGGAUCAAACAGGAUUAGAAACCCUUGUAGUCC
RNAcentral lists this ribosomal RNA (425 nucleotides) under uncultured bacterium. RNAcentral describes it as "bacterial SSU rRNA". It matches the Rfam family "Bacterial small subunit ribosomal RNA", at positions 354 to 796 of the family's 1533-position model. The record is from RNAcentral.